AGGAAGUCAGGCUUUUGCCUGCGACAUAGGGGAAUUUUCCAAUGCACCUGACGUCAAGUGUUUUUAGUUUGGAGAGUUUAUUAAUACGUUAUGUUGAAAAAAAAUAGUCGAGUUAUAUAGAAGUUAAGUGUUACGAGGUGUUUCCUGAGAAGAAGUCAGUUUAGUGUUUGUGUUUUUGUGUGCAUUUAAUGCAAUAUAAGACUGGAUUUUUGGAUUGUAGAUAAGUUAAAGCCGGAAACAUCAGCCGGUCCGAGCCAUGCUUUUAGAUGCAAAGUGUUCAAGAAACCGAGACCAUGUCACCUGUGUCAUCAACCUAUUUUAAAUCAGGGGUCCUGUUGUAGAGUUUGCAAAUAUGUCUGCCAUAAGGUCUGCGAGAGUAAGGUAAGUGUUCGUGCGAUUUAUAGGCUCGCAAAUACUAUUAUUCUUCCCCAUUAUACCUAAGUGUGUAUGUAUUCAUGUAUGUAAAUUAAUAGUUUAAGUGCUAGUUAGAUAUUCAACGCGCCUCUAGAGUUAUGUAAAUAAAACAAGGAAGUACCUAUUUAGAAGCACAAAUCAUAUUUAGUUAUUUUGCAUGUCACUAUUGGACCUACCUGAAAGUCAUUAUAAAUACAAACACCGUUAUUGUUACGCUGGGAAUCGAUUCUAUUUGCUUGGGAAGUAAGUAAUACUGUUUCUAAAAGAGAAUAGUCGUUACGCCCCUCAGUUUCAUAUUCCGAAUCAAAAUCGACCAACUUCCCUAACGUGUUAGCUAAACAGAUACAUUACAAUUUGCAGCGUUGAUCCUAACAUCAAUAUAAACAGCAAGGUUUCUUAUUUUUACGAAUUUCUACGUAUCUGAUCAGUUUCUCUCGAAAUACUCCUGUGGCGGAAAGGACCGCAUCAAAUAAGGGCCAUAUUUGUGCAAUUGUAAAGCAUUCCGCAAUCACGUUUCGUUUUCGGACCACGAGUAAUAAGUUUGCACCCUCUCGUGGUCGUCAAGUAAUAGCGAGAGAGAAAUAGCGAAGUUCGAUAAAAAUCCCAAAAACCAGAAACAAAAACAUCAGACAAAUGAUCUCAAUAACACUACAAAUAGGUAAAAAAUAGAUCUGCUAUGUCAAUAUUUAAAUUUAAAUUAAUUUUAGAGCAAAAUAAAAAAGGGAGUCAAGACUUAGUCGGAGAAAAUGUUUAUCAAAAUAGGCUUCCGCAGAAACAACGGAGCUAUAAAUAAUCGAUAAGUUAAUCUCAAGCAAACGUAACAAUUACAUUUCGGUGGUAUCGAAAACCAAAAUGCAAUCAAACGUAGUAGGGGAAAUCAACGAAAAUAACAAAAUUUACUUUUUGAACUACAGGUCGCAACAGCCUUGUUGAGCUCAAGAAGGGCCUGUACUGUAAAUCUGUAAACAGACAAAAACACAACAAACAAGCAAGCGGGGUAACGAUCGCGCUGCACAAAUUAUAUUGCGAAUUGCAAUGGUAACGUCUGACACGAAGGCUAAUCGUAUACGAAGAACUGUAAUUAAUACUUAAACGGAAUCAAUAACUCGAUUGGCUUUAUACUAGCAAAAGCAAAAUUUGGUUCGAUUACAGAUUGCCCUUACAUCUCUGUAUGUGAAAGCAUAUAAGUGACGUUAAACUUUAAGAACAAUACUUUAAGAUGUACAAAUAAUUAAAUCUCUAUUCAAUAGCAACGUAAAUAGACUAGUAUGAACAAAUUCUUCGAAGCAAAACAAAUAUCGUGAAAAAUCGUUGGUUUUGGUCUCGGAUCAAGUAUCGUUAACUUCAAAAUUAAUUCACAGAACAACGGUAUCUACUAUCUCAACUAAUACAUCUAAUCGGAAGGAUACAAUGCAAACAAACUAAUAGAAAUGAAUGUCAGAGCAACAAAAAUAAUCGUCGACAACAUCGUUAAAAGUCGAAUCUUCGGUAACGAUAAAACAAAGUACGUAUGUAGUAAUCGAGUAUAUUGGAACAAUUGUACGACAGUGAUAAUCUCCAAACGUUUCGGAAAAGAUACUUGCGAUUAAGGUUCCGGAGCAAAUAGGCACAUCUCCCACAUCUCGAAGUAGGUUCAUAGGGGCAAUGUAGUUAGAACGUCAUAAGUCGGUAAAGUAGAAAGUCCAUAUAUCGCAUCACGCCAAUCUUCAAUCUUCCAUAAAAAUAGCGGAUUCAACUAAAAAUGUUAAUUCAGCCACAUACGGCGUGGGUACUGCAUAAUAACCAGGUAGGUCCAACGUAAAAGAAACAACGAUGAGAAAUAAUAAGAAAAUUGUAAACAACGGGGUGAGAUAAUAAAGCCCCCCUGGUCAGAUGCAAAGUUCAGAUCCGUAAAUCCGUGUCGAUGGAGUCACCACAAGCGUCAGAAAGGAAGAAAAGAAUACUCCAAAGAUAAUUAUAGCGCACCAAAACGAUAAUGCCCUUUUCAGGUAUGACCCAAGCCAGUAAGAGUAAUAGCGUAACCAAGAGAAAACAUUUACAUUUACUCAAUUCAAGAGCUCAAAUGGAUAAUACCAAACGACCAGAAAAUAUCGUCACAAGCUUUCAAUUUCAAAAACUUAAACUCAACACCUCCAGUCAAAAAUUCAAACUCAAGUACUCAAAGAAAAAAGUGAAAAAUUCCAAAAACCUAUAAUUAAGAAGCUCAAACCUAAAACCUAACAAUUUCAAGAACUUUCAAACUUUAAAAAACUAAAACUCAAGAACGCCAUCAAAUUAGCACGCACAUUUGAACCGCAAGUUACGAUAAUAUAAUAUACAAGUUAAAAAAGUAAUCGUAAACCAUUUACAAAAAGCGCAUUUC
Photinus pyralis (common eastern firefly) is the source of this 2776-nucleotide long non-coding RNA. RefSeq lists it as uncharacterized. The record is from RefSeq and is a predicted model, not a curated record. NCBI's taxonomy places the organism in Eukaryota, Metazoa, Arthropoda, Insecta, Coleoptera, Lampyridae. The transcript is spliced from 3 exons.